AACAGCGCAUUUACAAGCGCAUCCUUGC
Molecule: non-coding RNA, 28 nt
Filed under: Mus musculus (house mouse)
Lineage: Eukaryota; Metazoa; Chordata; Mammalia; Rodentia; Muridae
Source: RNAcentral